AGUGAACGCUGGCGGUAGGCCUAACACAUGCAAGUCGAACGGCAGCACAGUAAGAGCUUGCUCUUACGGGUGGCGAGUGGCGGACGGGUGAGGAAUACAUCGGAAUCUACUUUUUCGUGGGGGAUAACGUAGGGAAACUUACGCUAAUACCGCAUACUACCUACGGGUGAAAGCAGGGGAUCUUCGGACCUUGCGUGAUUGAAUGAGCCGAUGUCGGAUUAGCUAGUUGGCGGGGUAAAGGCCCACCAAGGCGACGAUCCGUAGCUGGUCUGAGAGGAUGAUCAGCCACACUGGAACUGAGACACGGUCCAGACUCCUACGGGAGGCAGCAGUGGGGAAUAUUGGACAAUGGGCGCAAGCCUGAUCCAGCCAUACCGCGUGGGUGAAGAAGGCCUUCGGGUUGUAAAGCCCUUUUGUUGGGAAAGAAAAGCAGCAGGUUAAUACCCCGCUGCUCUGACGGUACCCAAAGAAUAAGCACCGGCUAACUUCGUG
RNAcentral lists this ribosomal RNA (492 nucleotides) under uncultured bacterium. RNAcentral describes it as "partial 16S ribosomal RNA". It matches the Rfam family "Bacterial small subunit ribosomal RNA", at positions 29 to 507 of the family's 1533-position model. The record is from RNAcentral.